UGGGGAAUAUUGGACAAUGGGCGAAAGCCUGAUCCAGCCAUGCCGCGUGUGUGAAGAAGGCCUUUUGGUUGUAAAGCACUUUAAGCGAGGAGGAGGGUACUGGUAUUAAUACUACCAGGUACUGGACGUUACUCGCAGAAUAAGCACCGGCUAACUCUGUGCCAGCAGCCGCGGUAAUACAGAGGGUGCAAGCGUUAAUCGGAAUUACUGGGCGUAAAGCGCGCGUAGGUGGUUCGUUAAGUUGAAUGUGAAAGCCCCGGGCUCAACCUGGGAACUGCAUCCAAAACUGGCGAGCUAGAGUAGGGCAGAGGGUGGUGGAAUUUCCUGUGUAGCGGUGAAAUGCGUAGAUAUAGGAAGGAACACCAGUGGCGAAGGCGACCACCUGGGCUCAUACUGACACUGAGGUGCGAAAGCGUGGGGAGCAAACAGG
This 430-nucleotide ribosomal RNA is filed under the name Pseudomonadota bacterium. Its description in RNAcentral is "Proteobacteria bacterium partial 16S ribosomal RNA". It matches the Rfam family "Bacterial small subunit ribosomal RNA", at positions 355 to 776 of the family's 1533-position model. Lineage: Bacteria; Pseudomonadati; Pseudomonadota. The record is from RNAcentral.